AGGGUUUGAUCCUGGCUCAGGAUGAACGCUGGCGGCAUGCCUAACACAUGCAAGUCGAACGAAGUUACCGGAGCAGCGGACUUAGGUUCAACGCACCGACUAACUUAGUGGCGGAUGGGUGAGUAACACGUGAGCAACCAACCUUUUACUCGGGAAUAACAUGGGGAAACCCAUGCUAAUACCUGAUAUUAUCAAGAAAUGGCAUCAUAAUUUGAUGAAAGGUUUAUCGGUAAAAGACGGGCUCGCGUCCGAUUAGCUAGUUGGUAAGGUAAUGGCUUACCAAGGCCACGAUCGGUAGCCGGACUGAGAGGUCGACCGGCCACAUUGGGACUGAGAACGGCCCAGACUCCUACGGGAGGCAGCAGUGGGGAAUAUUGGGCAAUGGACGCAAGUCUGACCCAGCGAUGCCGCGUGAAGGAUGGAAGGCCCUCGGGUUGUAAACUUCUUUAGACAGGGGAGAAAGAAAUGACAUUACCUGUAGAAUAAGCCACGGCUAACUACGUGCCAGCCGCCGCGGUAAUUC
RNAcentral lists this ribosomal RNA (523 nucleotides) under uncultured Clostridiaceae bacterium. RNAcentral describes it as "bacterial SSU rRNA". It matches the Rfam family "Bacterial small subunit ribosomal RNA", at positions 8 to 526 of the family's 1533-position model. Lineage: Bacteria; Bacillati; Bacillota; Clostridia; Eubacteriales; Clostridiaceae. The record is from RNAcentral.